Molecule: ribosomal RNA, 344 nt
Filed under: uncultured bacterium
Lineage: Bacteria
Description: bacterial SSU rRNA
Rfam family: Bacterial small subunit ribosomal RNA
Source: RNAcentral
AGAGUUUGAUCCUGGCUCAGAUUGAACGCUGGCGGCAUGCCUUACACAUGCAAGUCGAACGGCAGCGCGGGUGCUUGCACCUGGCGGCGAGUGGCGAACGGGUGAGUAAUAUAUCGGAACGUGCCCUAGAGUGGGGGAUAACUAGUCGAAAGAUUAGCUAAUACCGCAUACGAUCUACGGAUGAAAGUGGGGGAUCGCAAGACCUCAUGCUCCUGGAGCGGCCGAUAUCUGAUUAGCUAGUUGGUGGGGUAAAAGCCUACCAAGGCGACGAUCAGUAGCUGGUCUGAGAGGACGACCAGCCACACUGGGACUGAGACACGGCCCAGACUCCUACGGGAGGCAGC